GACGAACGCUGGCGGCGUGCUUAACACAUGCAAGUCGAACGGAAAGGCCCUGCUUUUGUGGGGUGCUCGAGUGGCGAACGGGUGAGUAACACGUGAGUAACCUGCCCUUGACUUUGGGAUAACUUCAGGAAACUGGGGCUAAUACCGGAUAGCAGCUCCUGCUGCAUGGUGGGGGUUGGAAAGUUUCGGCGGUUGGGGAUGGACUCGCGGCUUAUCAGCUUGUUGGUGGGGUAGUGGCUUACCAAGGCUUUGACGGGUAGCCGGCCUGAGAGGGUGACCGGGCACCUUGGGCCUGAGGUACGGACCAGACUCCUACGGGAGACAGCAGUGGGGAAUAUUGCACAAUGGGCGGAAGCCUGAGGCAGCAACGCCGCGUGCGGGAUGACGGCCUGCGGGUUGUAAACCGCUUUCGCCUGUGACGAAGCGUGAGUGACGGUAAUGAGUAAAGAAGCACCGGCUAACUACGUG
This 468-nucleotide ribosomal RNA is filed under the name uncultured bacterium. RNAcentral's name for it is "partial 16S ribosomal RNA". It matches the Rfam family "Bacterial small subunit ribosomal RNA", at positions 28 to 507 of the family's 1533-position model. The record is from RNAcentral.